AGCCCUGGAAACGGGGUCUAAUACCGGAUACCACUGCGGGAGGCAUCUCCUGCGGUUGAAAGCUCCGGCGGUGAAGGAUGAGCCCGCGGCCUAUCAGCUUGUUGGUGGGGUAAUGGCCCACCAAGGCGACGACGGGUAGCCGGCCUGAGAGGGCGACCGGCCACACUGGGACUGAGACACGGCCCAGACUCCUACGGGAGGCAGCAGUGGGGAAUAUUGCACAAUGGGCGAAAGCCUGAUGCAGCGACGCCGCGUGAGGGAUGACGGCCUUCGGGUUGUAAACCUCUUUCAGCAGGGAAGAAGCGAAAGUGACGGUACCUGCAGAAGAAGCGCCGGCUAACUACGUGCCAGCAGCCGCGGUAAUACGUAGGGCGCAAGCGUUGUCCGGAAUUAUUGGGCGUAAAGAGCUCGUAGGCGGCUUGUCACGUCGGAUGUGAAAGCCCGAGGCUUAACCUCGGGUCUGCAUUCGAUACGGGCUAGCUAGAGUGUGGUAGGGGAGAUCGGAAUUCCUGGUGUAGCGGUGAAAUGCGCAGAUAUCAGGAGGAACACCGGUGGCGAAGGCGGAUCUCUGGGCCAUUACUGACGCUGAGGAGCGAAAGCGUGGGGAGCGAACAGGAUUAGAUACCCUGGUAGUCCACGCCGUAAACGUUGGGAACUAGGUGUUGGCGACAUUCCACGUCGUCGGUGCCGCAGCUAACGCAUUAAGUUCCCCGCCUGGGGAGUACGGCCGCAAGGCUAAAACUCAAAGGAAUUGA
This 755-nucleotide ribosomal RNA is filed under the name Actinomycetales bacterium TLI216. Its description in RNAcentral is "bacterial SSU rRNA". It matches the Rfam family "Bacterial small subunit ribosomal RNA", at positions 146 to 913 of the family's 1533-position model. The record is from RNAcentral. Lineage: Bacteria; Bacillati; Actinomycetota; Actinomycetes; Actinomycetales.